CAGCGCCACGGGAAUACGAAGGGUGCAAGCGUUACUCGGAACUACUGGGCGUAAAGCGUGCGUAGGUGGUGGUUUAAGUCCGUUGUGAAAGCCCUGGGCUCAACCUGGGAAUUGCAGUGGAUACUGGAUCACUAGAGUGUGGUAGAGGAUAGUGGAAUUUCCGGUGUAGCAGUGAAAUGCGUAGAGAUCGGAAGGAACAUCUGUGGCGAAGGCGACUAUCUGGGCCAACACUGACACUGAGGCACGAAAGCGUGGGGAGCAAACAGGAUUAGAUACCCCGGUAGUCCCUGUCUCUUAUACC
RNAcentral lists this ribosomal RNA (301 nucleotides) under uncultured bacterium. Its description in RNAcentral is "partial 16S ribosomal RNA". It matches the Rfam family "Bacterial small subunit ribosomal RNA", at positions 509 to 808 of the family's 1533-position model. The record is from RNAcentral.